CCAAACUCUCCACUCUAUUCACUGUGCUCUGGCUACAGCACAACCUCCCAGCUUUAUUUGUAAAAUAAAAGGAAAGGAAUGGGCACUUCUUUUUCAUGGAUGGAGGAUUCAGCGAGAAUCACCACUGCUACCACAGAAGACAUUUAGGGUAACAGAAGAUGUCAGAGUGGGAUCUGCUGUAGGCUCCCAGUGGCCCCCAGGAGCACCAAGUGAGAUACCUGCUGGGCCCACUGUGUCCAUUGUCCUUGGUAGCCCCGGAGGAUCAUGGGGCUUCUCUGUCAUCAAAGCAUGGGACACUCUGAGGAAGCCUCUCACUAUCACCAGUGG
Long non-coding RNA from Cebus imitator (Panamanian white-faced capuchin), 327 nucleotides. RefSeq lists it as uncharacterized. The transcript is spliced from 3 exons. Lineage: Eukaryota; Metazoa; Chordata; Mammalia; Primates; Cebidae. The record is from RefSeq and is a predicted model, not a curated record.